This 497-nucleotide ribosomal RNA is filed under the name uncultured bacterium. RNAcentral describes it as "partial 16S ribosomal RNA". It matches the Rfam family "Bacterial small subunit ribosomal RNA", at positions 28 to 507 of the family's 1533-position model. The record is from RNAcentral.
GACGAACGCUGGCGGCGUGCCUAAUACAUGCAAGUUGAGCGCUGAAGGUUGGUACUUGUACCAACUGGAUGAGCAGCGAACGGGUGAGUAACGCGUAGGGAAUCUGCCUUUGAGCGGGGGACAACAUUUGGAAACGAAUGCUAAUACCGCAUAAAAACUUUAAACACAAGUUUUAAGUUUGAAAGAUGCAAUUGCAUCACUCAAAGAUGAUCCCGCGUUGUAUUAGCUAGUUGGUGAGGUAAAGGCUCACCAAGGCGAUGAUACAUAGCCGACCUGAGAGGGUGAUCGGCCACAUUGGGACUGAGACACGGCCCAAACUCCUACGGGAGGCAGCAGUAGGGAAUCUUCGGCAAUGGACGAAAGUCUGACCGAGCAACGCCGCGUGAGUGAAGAAGGUUUUCGGAUCGUAAAACUCUGUUGGUAGAGAAGAACGUUGGUGAGAGUGGAAAGCUCAUCAAGUGACGGUAACUACCCAGAAAGGGACGGCUAACUACGUG